CUGGAAAGUCCGACGAUACAGGGUGAUAGUCCCGUAGUUGACGACGUGUGUUCAGUGAAAUCGAGUAGGGCGGGACACGUGAUAUCCUGUCUGAAUAUGGGGGGACCAUCCUCCAAGGCUAAAUACUACUGACUGACCGAUAGUGAACCAGUACCGUGAGGGAAAGGCGAAAAGAACCCCUGUGAGGGGAGUGAAAUAGAACCUGAAACCGUGUACGUACAAGCAGUAGGAGCAGGCUUUGUCCUGUGACUGCGUACCUUUUGUAUAAUGGGUCAGCGACUUAUAUUCAGUGGCAAGGUUAACCAUCUAGGGGAGCCGUAGGGAAACCGAGUCUUAACUGGGCGUUCAGUCUCUGGAUAUAGACCCGAAACCAGGUGAUCUAGCCAUGGGCAGGUUGAAGGUUGAGUAACAUCAACUGGAGGACCGAACCGACUAAUGUUGAAAAAUUAGCGGAUGACUUGUGGCUAGGGGUGAAAGGCCAAUCAAACCUGGAGAUAGCUGGUUCUCCCCGAAAGCUAUUUAGGUAGCGCCUCGGACGAAUACUACUGGGGGUAGAGCACUGUUAAGGCUAGGGGGUCAUCCCGACUUACCAACCCUUUGCAAACUCCGAAUACCAGUAAGUACUAUCCGGGAGACACACGGCGGGUGCUAACGUCCGUCGUGGAGAGGGAAACAACCCAGACCGCCAGCUAAGGUCCCAAAUUACUACUAAGUGGGAAACGAUGUGGGAAGGCUCAGACAGCCAGGAUGUUGGCUUAGAAGCAGCCAUCAUUUAAAGAAAGCGUAAUAGCUCACUGGUCGAGUCGGCCUGCGCGGAAGAUGUAACGGGGCUAAGUAGUAAACCGAAGCUGCGGCAAUAUACUUUUGUAUAUUGGGUAGGGGAGCGUUCUGUAAGCGGUUGAAGGUGUGUGGUAACGCAUGCUGGACGUAUCAGAAGUGCGAAUGCUGACAUGAGUAACGAUAAAGGGGGUGAAAAACCUCCUCGCCGGAAGACCAAGGGUUCCUGUCCAACGUUAAUCGGGGCAGGGUAAGUCGACCCCUAAGGCGAGGCCGAAAGGCGUAGUCGAUGGGAAACGGGUUAAUAUUCCCGUACUUCUUACAAUUGCGAUGGGGGGACGGAGAAGGCUAGGUGGGCCUGGCGACGGUUGUCCAGGUUCAAGUGCGUAGGCUUAAGAGUUAGGUAAAUCCGGCUCUUUUUAAGGCUGAGACACGACGUCGAGCACCUACGGGUGUGAAGUCAUUGAUGCCAUGCUUCCAGGAAAAGCCUCUAAGCUUCAGAUUGUAAGGAAUCGUACCCCAAACCGACACAGGUGGUCGGGUAGAGAAUACCAAGGCGCUUGAGAGAAC
RNAcentral lists this ribosomal RNA (1347 nucleotides) under Vibrio parahaemolyticus. RNAcentral describes it as "bacterial LSU rRNA". It matches the Rfam family "Bacterial large subunit ribosomal RNA", at positions 342 to 1699 of the family's 2925-position model. Lineage: Bacteria; Pseudomonadati; Pseudomonadota; Gammaproteobacteria; Vibrionales; Vibrionaceae. The record is from RNAcentral.